GCUUCUUUUUCCACCGGAGCUUGCUCCACCGGAAAAAGAAGAGUGGCGAACGGGUGAGUAACACGUGGGUAACCUGCCCAUCAGAAGGGGAUAACACUUGGAAACAGGUGCUAAUACCGUAUAACAAUCGAAACCGCAUGGUUUUGAUUUGAAAGGCGCUUUCGGGUGUCGCUGAUGGAUGGACCCGCGGUGCAUUAGCUAGUUGGUGAGGUAACGGCUCACCAAGGCCACGAUGCAUAGCCGACCUGAGAGGGUGAUCGGCCACAUUGGGACUGAGACACGGCCCAAACUCCUACGGGAGGCAGCAGUAGGGAAUCUUCGGCAAUGGACGAAAGUCUGACCGAGCAACGCCGCGUGAGUGAAGAAGGUUUUCGGAUCGUAAAACUCUGUUGUUAGAGAAGAACAAGGAUGAGAGUAACUGUUCAUCCCUUGACGGUAUCUAACCAGAAAGCCACGGCUAACUACGUGC
Molecule: ribosomal RNA, 469 nt
Filed under: Enterococcus durans
Lineage: Bacteria; Bacillati; Bacillota; Bacilli; Lactobacillales; Enterococcaceae
Description: bacterial SSU rRNA
Rfam family: Bacterial small subunit ribosomal RNA
Source: RNAcentral